RNAcentral lists this ribosomal RNA (3876 nucleotides) under Triticum aestivum (bread wheat). Its description in RNAcentral is "partial small subunit ribosomal RNA". The record is from RNAcentral. Lineage: Eukaryota; Viridiplantae; Streptophyta; Magnoliopsida; Poales; Poaceae.
AUGCUUCGAAAUGUGAAGGAGCCCGAGGCCGGACAAGUGGCAGACAAGAUUGUGUCAUCUUUAAAAUACCGUGCUUUAAGCACUCUAGCACAUAGAGAGGAUGGGACUUGUAGAAUGCGCCAUGCUUGCUUCGCCAACAAAGCUUGAUAUGGCGUCGAGGUACCAGCGAAAGGGGCAGGACCGGAGCAUUCGCCUCUAGGGGCUGGGCUCACGCCCGCGGCUGCACUGUCCUCGGCGGUGCAUGCGGCAGCAUCAUCUGCCGCUUCCGGAGAUGAAGAAGAAGAUAAUGACGAUCAACUCGUGGUUGCAACAAAGACCACCAAUCAUUCUGGUCGAAGAGGGGCAUUUUUUGAGCCUCCUACACCGGAGGACAAUGUUAAGGCGAAGCUAGCUGAAUGGAUAGAGGAUGUUGCACAACGCAGCACUGCUGAGAAGAAAUCAAUACAAUCCAUCGCCAUUGUGGCACCAGAUGAGCAAGAUACCUGCGCUAUUGCAGAUGUUGCUCGGAAAAUGUGGGGAGAACAUGGCACGCACAGUGUCUUGGUCGACAUCCCAGCAGUGCACUUCUAUUCUGAAUUGCUUCGAACCAAGGACGUUCUCUACUAUAUACUGCGGGAGCUGCAGUCUGUUCCACUUCCAUCCCAGCAGGACAAAAAGGAUAUUAACUCGAAAAAAUGGGUGCUGAUUGAUGAAAUCACCAAAGAUAUUGAAGGAAUGAAGGUUGGCAAAAAGAUUUCAGAAAUCAUGAAAACUGUUGAACAAAUGAAGGGCAGUCAGUGGCAGCUGGACCUGGAACAUGACAACCGGGACUUGCUGGGCCUGCUGGAAUCCUCUAAGGAUGAACCCUUAGGAGUAAUCCUCCGAGCGUUGUGUGUUCUCAAACACAAGCCAGCUGACGGUGUACCUCUUGCUAUCAAACAUGAACAAGAAAAGAAGCAAGCAACACCUUCAGAGAGGAAGAAAGCCUCGCACGAAGAUAUCAUCAAGGGAACAGCCAAGAAGCUUAAAGAGCAUAUGGAACAAAAUAGAGAUGACAAACAAAAACCUAAUAAUGGGAAUAUGGAACAAAAUACAGAUGAAGAACGGCAGCCUAAGCAGCAUAUGGGGAAAAAUGCAGAUCAAAAACAGCAGCCCAAAGAGCGUAGGGGAGAAGAAGCACGCGCAGAGCCAAUUCUUCUCGAUCAAGCCCAUUAUGAACACAUCCUAAGGAAGUUGUUCCCAGAGGCCAGCACGCAGCCCCUCCAGAUCCGUGAGCAAGAUUCGAAGCAAGCCACUGCCGUCACCGCCACUAGCACUAUUAGUGCAUUCAUCGAGGACCUAGUUAAUGAAAUGAUUCAUAAGGUCAUAAAAGAGCUGCAGGAAAACAGAUCCGUGACAGAACCAGGCACAGCUGAGAAACAGGAUGUCAAAUCUGUGAAGGAACCAGAUAGAGCUGCUGGUAAAAAGGAUUGUAUCCCGGAUUCUCUUAUUGAAGAAAUAAUCUACAUGUUUUGGGAAAUCGAGUGGAUGAUGGAAGAGCAGAUCAAGAUCAAAAGGAUCAUGGACAAAAUUAAUGAUUGUUUGAAGAGCCGAGAUGGUCAGAUUCUGGUUAUCCUAAAACUGGAUAAUGACUAUGUGUCUGGGUGGACGGAGUUGAGAAAUGCUUUCAGCUUGAUGGGUCGCAUAGCCGGUGUACUGUUGUUGAACACAACAAUAAAUGCUGAUCGAGCCAAACAAUAUUGCUGCCCGGAGCGGGAGCCCAUAGACUAUUCUCUUCUUGGCCUCUACCAUGAUACUGCACUCGAGCUUACAAAGAAGCACAUGAUUGAAGAUAGCCCGCGGAUUUUUCUUGACAUCUUGGGCGAGUGUAAGCAACAGGAAUUCUGCAUGAAGAUCUUCGUUCAUGCUUUGAACGCCAACCCCAAGAGAAGCAAGGAAGAGCUAAUCAAGUUGCACACAACCCUGCAGCAGGUUCCAGAUGACUCGUUAGAAAAAAUUGCUAAUAAGAUGCUCAAGUUCUCUUAUAGUGAUCUUCCUAAUGAAUACAAGUCCUGCUUGCUGUACCUAGCUAUUUUUCCUCGGCGGCAACGCAUCAGGCGGUCAACCUUAAUAGGACGUUGGGUUGUAGAAGGGCUGAUUACGAAGGAAGACUGGGCCAGUUCUGUGCGUCGUGCCAAUCGAUGUUUUGAUGCGCUGAUCAAUCGAUGGCUUAUUUAUGCUGCUGAUAUUGGUGCUACAGGAAAGAUAAAGAGUUGUGUGAUUGGUGAUCUAGUUCAUGCAUUCAUUACCAGGAUUGCUAGAAAACGGCGGAUUGUGGAAACACGCCUGUCACAUCACUUGGCUCUCCGCUUCUCCAUUUUCAAUGACCUUCGACUCCGUGGCUCAGAUAAAAUAGACAAAUUCUUUGAUAAGCUCUAUGAAGAAUCAUCUCGAGUGUCCCUGAUCAAGGUGCUAGAUCUUGAAGGUUGCCAAUGCUUUAGAGGGAAGAACCAAAGCUACCUCAGAGACAUAUGUAGCAAGAUGUUACUACUCAAGUAUCUGAGCCUAAGGGGAACAGAUGUUACCCAUCUACCCACUGAAAUCAACAACCUCCGUGAGCUGGAAGUAUUGGAUAUCAGAGAGACCAAUGUACCUCCAUCUGCAACAGUAAAUCUCUUACUCCUGAAGUUGAAGCGUUUGUUGGCUGGUCGCAUUGUUCUGAGUUCAGGGGCAAGUAGUACUGAAUUAUCUAGUGUUGAGAUUCCUGAGAAGGUCGAAAAAAUGGUAAACAUGGAGGUAUUGUCCAAUGUCAAGGCAAGAAAAAGAAGAGAUUUGAAAGAUAUUGGAAAGUUGUGGCAGCUGAGGAAGCUUGGUGUGGUUAUCGAAAACAAGGAGCCACACCUCAGGAAUUUUCUUCGAGCUAUUAGUGAUCUGCAUGAGUGCCUCAAGUCUCUGUCAAUCACUCUUCCCAGUACAGAGGACAGCAAAGUCUUCACAUCGUGGGUUCUUGAGCACUAUAAAAACACUCCCAAGCUUCUUGAGAGCCUAAGCAUUUCUGGAACCACACAAACAGUGCAACUUCUUCAAUUGUUCACCAGAGAUAGUGACCAGCUCCAACUUGACAAGGUAACUCUAUCUGGUACCAAGCUGAGGAAGGCUGAUCUGAAGGUCCUUGCCAGUCUGCCCAAAUUAGCAUGUCUCAGGCUGCGAGACAAGGCAUACAUCGAUAGUGACCUCACCUUCAUCAAUGGUGAAUUCAUAAAUCUCAAGUGCUUUCUUAUUGAGGGUUCCAACAUAAUUGUCCUCAACUUAGGUGGGGCACAUAAACUCGAGAAGAUCAUUCUGUGCUCCACCGAUGGCCUACUGUCAGUUUGUGGAGUCGAAGACCUUCCGGAACUAAAGGAGGUUGAGUUGAAGAACAUCAAUAAGCUUUCACUGUUUGAGAAGGCCAAAAACAUCUCCAAGGUGACUCUGUGUCAUACCAUUCUUUGUCAAGAAGAGCUGGAGAUUCUUGCCAAGAUACCUAACAUGCGCAACCUAGUACUGAAGGAGAUAUCUUAUGUACAGAGCCAACACAUCUUCUACGAACACGACUUCCCAAGGCUCAAACUUCUUGUCAUCGAAUUUUCUGCCAUCACCAAUAUCGUCUUUGCUAGCCAAUCUGCUACUAAUCUCGAGAGAAUAAUCUGGUUCUACACCAAGGGUACACUCUCCGGCAUUGACAACCUUCCAAAACUGAAGGAGCUCGAGUUCAAUGGUGAUUUUGUCCCCGAUCUGGUGAAAGAAGCAUUGAAAAGAAAUGACAACAAACCCAAGCUUAUACACAACAAACCAGAAAACCAACACCAAGAAGCUGGUAACAUACCAGAAAAGGAAGAUUCUCACAGAUUCCCAUUAUUCUGGAAGAGAGAGGAUUGA